GACGAAGGAUGCAAGCGUUAUCCGGAUUCAUUGGGGUUAAAGGGCGCGUAGGCGGAUUUGUAAGUCAGUGGUGAAAUCUCUUCGCUUAACGAAGAAACUGCCAUUGAUACUGCAGAUCUUGAGUACAGUUGCCGUUGGCGGAAUAUGACAUGUAGUGGUGAAAUACUUAGAUAUGUCAUAGAACACCGAUUGCGAAGGCAGCUAACGAAGCUGUAACUGACGCUGAGGCUCGAAAGUGCGGGGAUCAAACAGG
Molecule: ribosomal RNA, 253 nt
Filed under: uncultured bacterium
Lineage: Bacteria
Description: partial 16S ribosomal RNA
Rfam family: Bacterial small subunit ribosomal RNA
Source: RNAcentral